GGUAGCAUCCAAGGAGCUGUGGGCCCUGAUGGUGCUCUCAGCCCAAAUCUAAGUCCUUGGUAUCACAGUAGGGUUUGGGACCCUGGAACCUGGUGGCCCACAGGAGUGAAGUCCUCUGAUGAGAGAGUCCUGCAUGUCCUGGGCCUGAGCUGCAGGGGGCUACCUCAUGUGGCCCCAUCUUGGAGAUGGGCAUUUAGUCCACACUGGCUACCCAGUAGGGGGGCCAGCAGCCAGCCUCAUAAAUGCCCCAUCUCCUUGAGGACAAGACAGGUGGUCCCAAAUGGGAGGCUCUUUGUCAGGUCUCAGCUUAGUGUCUCCUUUGAAGGGAUCUUCACUGAUGUAUGUAGUUUCUCCUGGGUUCCCCAGCUCUUUGUGUGUUUGCUUCCUAGUGUUUGUUAUAACCUGUGACAUCGGGACCUGCAUGCACACUGAAUAUGGGCUGCCAGAGUCCUGCCACUGACUGGGCUAUUCCACUUCUGCUUCCUUGCCAGAAUGAAGUGGGUUAAUGAAUCCAAAGAGCUGAGGACAGGGGCUGCAGGUAGUUAAGUGCUUAGUAAUUAUCAAUGGUCUGUAUACUAGAACAUGUACUGUGAGAAGCAGAACCUUGUCUCCACUUUUGAUUAUGUCCAGAUGUGUCUACCCAGUGACACAGCUCAGCAGUAUAGCAGAAUACUGUAAUAUUAGGUCUGAGUGGCUGCCCAGCCUGCCAAGUCGUUAUACUGCAUGUUGCCAACACAGGAAAAGAACAAAAUUCAAAGUACAGUUUGUACUGAGUGCAUGUCACUUGUACCAUCUUAAAGUCAAAAAGAUCAAAAGUUGACUCAUUGGAAGUCAGGGAUCAUUUGCACACAGACACAUGUUUACGUAGGUGCUUGUGUACCCCCAGUCACCUUGUGAGGCAGGUGUCAGCCCCACAGUACCAAUGGAGUAGGUCUAAAUGGGGAAAAUGUUACCCAUGUUGAUCCUGCCAUGCUUCCUGUGUGCCAGUCAUGAGCCGAGAAUCUAACAUCCCAGAUCCCUGGCCACAGACAAAGGGGGUCCUUGGGCUGUGAUGUGCCUUUGAGGGCUGACACCUCCAGAGCUCAACGCAACCUCUACUUCAGCCUUACCCAGUUCAAAAACCCUGCUGGAUUCUUGACAACCCUGCUGUCUUCCUGGACCCUUGCUGCCACACCCUGCCUUUUCCCUCUCAGAUCACUAACCCAGACCAAGAGGGUUGUUGUCGGAGUUGGGUGGCUUGAACUUGCUUAAACCUCCCAUCCUUCCCGCCUGAGGAGGCCCACCUCUUGGCUCACCUCACCUCUGACACUGGUCUGUGCAUGUGGCUCACUGGCUCAUUCUGCCACAUCACCUAGUGAGGCCUCUCCACACCCUUGCUUCAGUUCAGCAUUGAGGUGCAGUCAGUCUUACUUGUCUACCUGUGUGCUGGUGAGUAGGACCCAGCAAAGGUUCUGCCAGCCUUCUGACCCUGGCUGAGGCAGAACUGCCCAAGUGCAUGCAUGAAAAGAUGGCAAAUGUGUGUGGUUUUUAGCCAAUUUUUUUUUUUUUCCAUACCCGAGAUUGAACUUGAGCACACAUCCCCAGCCCUUUUUAUUUUUUGAGACAGGGUCUCACUAAAUUGCUUAGUGUCUCCCUAUCUAGACACCUUUCUGAAAUGCUUAAAGAAUCCUAACUGGCUGGAUUUGAACUCUGAUCCUCCUGCCUCAGCCUCCUGAGCUGCUGGGAUUACAGGCAUGCAUCAUCACACCCAGCUCCAAGAUUUUUUUCUCAACAAAUUUUCAACUGAGAAUUAAUGUAAGAUUUGCCCUUUUAUUUUUUGUUAAUUAAUUUUUGGUACCAGGGAUUGAACCCAGGGUUACUUAAUCACUGAGCCAUCCCAGAGCUUCAUUUUUUGAGACAGGGUCUUGCCAAGUUGCUGAGGCUGACUCGACCUGCAAUCUUCCUUCCUCAAUUUCCCCAGCCACUGGGAUUAUAAGCAUGUGCCACCAUGCCCAGCUCUCUUUUUUAUUUUGAUACAGUCUAGUUUGCUGAGGCUGGCUUUGAACUUGGGAAUCUUCCUUGGGCCUUUCAAGUUGCUGGGACUGCCACCAUGCCUAGCCCAAAUUCACCUUUUUAUGGUGCACAAUUCAGUAAUUUUUAGUCUAUUCAUAAUAAAGUUGUGUGGUCACAACCAUUAAUUCCAGAACAUUUUCAUCAUGCAAACAGGACUCCACAUCUUGAAACAUCAUUCCCAUCCUCCACCUCCCUCCAGCUUUGGCAACUGCCAGUUGCCGUGUGCAGGCAGCAGACAUCUUGUAUGAAUGGGUCGAGCACAGUGUGACCUGUGGUGUCUUGGCGUCCUCUGCUAGCCCAGUGCUUUGCUCCCGUGUGGAGGCUGCCUCACUUGGCACUCUGUGCUCAUCUUGUUGACAUGUGGCUCACAGUAUGUCUCCCCAUUUGCCUGGAAACAGAGGACAGUGUAUGCCUCGGCUUUCUUCUUGCCUGCCACCCCCCCCCCCCGCCAGCACCCAGCACAAUUCCUGGCACAGGGAUGGUGCUCAGCCAGCAAAUGUGUAGGUCCAUGUCACCAGUACUCCUACUGGGGACAGUUCCGGUUUUUGCUACUGUAUUUCAGAGUACUCCCAGUGGACUGCCACAGGACACACUUCAUUCUCCCAGCAAUACUGUGUGACUACCCGUCAACAUGUGAGGCUUGCCAACCAGGGACGCUCCACCAAGCCUUGGCAUCCAGCGUUCUGACUGGGCCCGAGUGGAGCGCCCACGUGGGAGCCCAGUAGGCAUGGCUCAAGGCCUCAGUAAGACACCUGCCUUCCAGGAUAUUCCAAGGGCUCCAGAGUUAUACCUCCCAGGAACCAGUCAUGGGCCAGAGUUCCUGAGACGGGCUUGCUUCGAAAUGUGCAGGGUUAGAGCAACCCAGGUCUACUGAGUUAACCUGCUCUUGACCCAGACUCUCUUACAACAAAAUGACAGACUUGUCUUAGGGACUAUGUGUAGCAUACUGGUUAAUGAGAUUCAGCUACAGGUCCCAACCUCUCAGGAGGCUAGAGGCUAAGGCAGGAGGAUAGCAAGUUCAAGGUUAGCCUUGGCAACUUAGUGAGAUUGUGUCUCAAAAUGAAAAAUCAAAAGUUUGGAGGUAUAGCUCAUCGGUAGAACUCCCUGGGUUAAAUUUCCAGUACUGGGGGAGGGGAAGAGGAAUGCAUACCUUCAACAAGGUUUUACCAUCUCACUGUUCCAGUUAGAGCACAUGAGAUUUUCUAUUGUUCCACCAUUUUGUCAACACUUGGUAUUAUCAGAUUUUAUAAUUGUUGGUAAUUUCUUUUUUUUUGAGAGAGAAUUUUAAUAUUUAUUUUUUAGUUUUCGGUGGACACAACAUCUUUGUUUGUAUGUGGUGCUGAGGAUCGAACCCGGGCCGCAAGGAUGCCAGGGGAGCGCGCUACCGCUUGAGCCACAUCCCCAGCCCAAUUGUUGUUCUCGGUGGACACAACAUCUUCGUUUGUAUGUGGUACUGAGGAUCGAACCCGGGCCGCACGCAUGCCAGGGGAGCGCGCUACCGCUUGAGCCACAUCCCCAGCCCUAUAUUUUAUAUUUUUGACAUUCAUGUUGUUUUGGGGUCUCAGCUGAGCAGUCCAUUGUAUGAAUUCACCAGGUUCUUUGCUCAUUCAUGUGUUGAUGAAACAUUUGGGUUGUUUCCAGUUUUGCCUGUUACAAAUAAAGCUUCUAUAAGAUUCA
This is a long non-coding RNA of Marmota monax (woodchuck), 3729 nucleotides long. RefSeq lists it as uncharacterized. The record is from RefSeq and is a predicted model, not a curated record. The transcript has 2 exons. Lineage: Eukaryota; Metazoa; Chordata; Mammalia; Rodentia; Sciuridae.